AGCUUUUCGCAGUGGCAGUAUCAUAGUCAGUGAGGUUUAUCCGAGGCACGAUUAUUGCUAAUUGAAUAUCAAACUUAAAGAUAAUUUUUUGUAGGAGAAACAGGGGUUAAGCUAUUUUCUUAAGUAGAGAGGUCUU
Non-coding RNA from Mus musculus (house mouse), 136 nucleotides. The record is from Rfam. Lineage: Eukaryota; Metazoa; Chordata; Mammalia; Rodentia; Muridae.